Molecule: ribosomal RNA, 253 nt
Filed under: uncultured bacterium
Lineage: Bacteria
Description: partial 16S ribosomal RNA
Rfam family: Bacterial small subunit ribosomal RNA
Source: RNAcentral
UACGUAGGGUGCGAGCGUUAAUCGGAAUUACUGGGCGUAAAGUGUGCGCAGGCGGCUUCGCAAGUCGAGUGUGAAAUCCCCGAGCUUAACUUGGGAAUUGCGCUCGAAACUACGGAGCUGGAGUGUGGCAGAGGAAGGUGGAAUUCCACGUGUAGCGGUGAAAUGCGUAGAGAUGCGGAGGAACACCGAUGGCGAAGGCAGCCCCCUGGGUUGACACUGACGCUCAGGCACGAAAGCGUGGGGAGCAAACAGG